AGUCGUAACAAGGUUUCCGUAGGUGAACCUGCGGAAGGAUCAUUAUAGAAAUAAAACUGAACAGGCUGUUUGCUGGUCCUCUCGAGGGCAUGUGCACGCCUGUCGUCUUUAUUCUUCCAACCGUGCACAUAUUGUAGGCCUGGAGUUUUUCUUAUUGUUCAAAUAGAUUGAGGACUGCCGUCGAGGCUUUGCCUUGUGAUUCCAGGUCUAUGUUGUAAUACAUUUUCACAACGUGUUUAAGAAUGUCGAGUACUGGGGAUAACAAAUAUACAACUUUCAGCAACGGAUCUCUUGGCUCUCGCAUCGAUGAAGAACGCAGCGAAAUGCGAUAAGUAAUGUGAAUUGCAGAAUUCAGUGAAUCAUCGAAUCUUUGAACGCAUCUUGCGCUCCUUGGUAUUCCGAGGAGCAUGCCUGUUUGAGUGUCAUCAAAAGUUCUCAACCAUGCUGGUUCUUCUGGCGUGGCUUGGAUUUGGGGGUUUGCAGGCUUUGAACCAAAGUCAGCUCCCCUUGAAAGGAUUAGUGGUAACCAGAGUACCUUUGGGUGUGAUAAUUAUCUAUGCNCUUGAUGCGUACUGUGUGUGAGCUGCUUCCAACCGAGUGUUGACAAAUUUGACCUCAAAUCAGGUAGGACUACCCGCUGAACUUAAGCAUAUCAAUAAGCGGAGGAAAAGAAACUAACAAGGAUUCCCCUAGUAACUGCGAGUGAAGCGGGA
This 713-nucleotide ribosomal RNA is filed under the name uncultured Inocybe. RNAcentral describes it as "eukaryotic LSU rRNA". The stretch from base 272 to 425 matches the Rfam family "5.8S ribosomal RNA". The record is from RNAcentral. Lineage: Eukaryota; Fungi; Basidiomycota; Agaricomycetes; Agaricales; Cortinariaceae.